GUACUUGCAUGGGCGAAGCCUGAUGCAGCGACGCCGCGUGCGGGAUGAAGGCCUUCGGGUUGUAAACCGCUUUCAGCAGGGACGAGGCCGCAAGGUGACGGUACCUGCAGAAGAAGCCCCGGCUAACUACGUGCCAGCAGCCGCGGUAAUACA
Molecule: ribosomal RNA, 153 nt
Filed under: uncultured Atopobium sp.
Lineage: Bacteria; Bacillati; Actinomycetota; Coriobacteriia; Coriobacteriales; Atopobiaceae
Description: partial 16S ribosomal RNA
Rfam family: Bacterial small subunit ribosomal RNA
Source: RNAcentral